This 254-nucleotide ribosomal RNA is filed under the name uncultured bacterium. Its description in RNAcentral is "partial 16S ribosomal RNA". It matches the Rfam family "Bacterial small subunit ribosomal RNA", at positions 524 to 776 of the family's 1533-position model. The record is from RNAcentral.
UACGUAGGCAGCGAGCGUUGUCCGGAAUUAUUGGGCGUAAAGAGCUCGUAGGCGGUCUGUCGCGUCGGUCGUGAAAACUUGGGGCUUAACCCUGAGCUUGCGGUCGAUACGGGCAUGACUGGAGUUCGGCAGGGGAGACUGGAAUUCCUGGUGUAGCGGUGAAAUGCGCAGAUAUCAGGAGGAACACCGGUGGCGAAGGCGGGUCUCUGGGCCGAUACUGACGCUGAGGAGCGAAAGCGUGGGGAGCAAACAGG